CCCAGACUCCUACGGGAGGCAGCAGUGGGGGAUAUUGCACAAUGGGGGGAACCCUGAUGCAGCGACGCCGCGUGGGUGAAGGAGCGUUUCGGCGCGUAAAGCCCUAUCGGCAGGGAAGAAGGAGGACGGUACCUGACUAAGAAGCCCCGGCUAACUACGUGCCAGCAGCCGCGGUAAUACGUAGGGGGCAAGCGUUAUCCGGAUUUACUGGGUGUAAAGGGGGCGCAGACGGCAGCGCAAGCCAGGAGUGAAAGCCCGGGGCCCAACCCCGGGACUGCUCUUGGAACUGCGCGGCUGGAGUGCAGGAGGGGCAGGCGGAAUUCCUGGUGUAGCGGUGAAAUGCGUAGAUAUCAGGAGGAACACCGGUGGCGAAGGCGGCCUGCUGGACUGCGACUGACGUUGAGGCCCGAAAGCGUGAGGAGCAAACAGGAUUAGAUACCCCAGUAUAU
Molecule: ribosomal RNA, 449 nt
Filed under: uncultured bacterium
Lineage: Bacteria
Description: partial 16S ribosomal RNA
Rfam family: Bacterial small subunit ribosomal RNA
Source: RNAcentral